GUUAUAGUUUAUCUGAUAGUCAUCCUGAUACUACAUGGAUAACCGUGGUAAUUCUAUGGCUAAUACAUGCGCAAAUACUAUACCUUAAGGGUAUAGUAGUGUUUAUUAGAUACAGAACCAACACGCUCCAUUUUUGGGGUGUAAAAGGAGGUGAUUCAUAGUAACCGAACGGAUCGCAUUAUGAUCAUAUUAUUAUGAUUGGCGAUAGAUCAUUCAAGUUUCUGACCUAUCAGCUUUCGACGGUAGUGUAUUGGAMUACCGUGGCAGUGACGGGURACGGGGAAUUAGGGUUCGAUUCCGGAGAGGGAGCCUGAGAAACGGCUACCACAUCUAAGGAAGGCAGCAGGCGCGCAAAUUACCCAAUCCUGACUCAGGGAGGUAGUGACAAGAAAUAACAACACUGGAAAUUCAAUUUCUAGUGAUUGGAAUGAUGGGAAUCUAAACCCCUUUCAGAGUAACAAUUGGAGGGCAAGUCUGGUGCCAGCAGCCGCGGUAAUUCCAGCUCCAAUAGCGUAUAUUAAAGUUGUUGCAGUUAAAAAGCUCGUAGUUGGAUAUCUGCUGGAAGCAAUCAGUCCGCCCUAUUUAGGGUGUGCACUUGAUGAAUUCUGGCAUCUAUUAUUCCUAAUAUUAUACUGAUGACUUU
Molecule: ribosomal RNA, 643 nt
Filed under: Sarcocystis hominis
Lineage: Eukaryota; Apicomplexa; Conoidasida; Eucoccidiorida; Sarcocystidae
Description: SSU rRNA
Rfam family: Eukaryotic small subunit ribosomal RNA
Source: RNAcentral